This 254-nucleotide ribosomal RNA is filed under the name uncultured bacterium. Its description in RNAcentral is "partial 16S ribosomal RNA". It matches the Rfam family "Bacterial small subunit ribosomal RNA", at positions 524 to 776 of the family's 1533-position model. The record is from RNAcentral.
UACGAAGGGGGCUAGCGUUGUUCGGAAUUACUGGGCGUAAAGGGCGCGUAGGCGGUCCUGAUCGUCGGAUGUGAAAGGCCUGGGCUCAACCUGGGAACUGCAUCCGAUACGGCGGGACUGGAGUGUGGGAGAGGUUGGUGGAAUUCCCAGUGUAGAGGUGAAAUUCGUAGAUAUUGGGAAGAACACCGGUGGCGAAGGCGGCGACCUGGUCCUUUUACUGACGCUGAGGCGCGAAAGCGUGGGGAGCAAACAGG